RNAcentral lists this long non-coding RNA (468 nucleotides) under Durio zibethinus. Its description in RNAcentral is "long non-coding RNA (DZIB_LNC001381)". The record is from RNAcentral. Lineage: Eukaryota; Viridiplantae; Streptophyta; Magnoliopsida; Malvales; Malvaceae.
CCAAAUAAUCUAAUUGUUGAACUGUUUAAUCUGAAACUCGAAAUCUUGAACGAAUUAUUAUCUGAUCUGGUUUUAAUAAUUAUGUUUUGAAAUAUAUACUUUUUCUUUUUAGCCACAAACCAAAUAAUCAAAUUCCCCAAAAAGAAACCCAACAGUAAAAAAGAAGACAGGUGAUAUUUAAACAUAGCAAAUAAAAUUCCAGAGUCAAUAAUCAAUCUAUUGUUAGACUAGAAAAUUUGCCCUCGAUUAUAGCUCUAGUUAUAUACUAUACCUAUUUAAUGAUCGGAUCAUUAAAAUCCAAAAGUUUGCAUGAUAUUUGAGAGAAUUUUUACAUAAAAUAUUAAGUUCAUUAAAUGAGAAUCUAAAUAAAAAAAUGAAGUCGGUUCAAAAGGCGGGCCGAAUGAUGACCAAAAAGAAAGGUUAGGCCACCACUCCAAAAUUUAAGGUCCAUGCCUGGAGUGAUUUACG